GUUUGAUCCUGGCUCAGGACGAACGCUGGCGGCGUGCCUAAUACAUGCAAGUCGAGCGGACAGAUGGGAGCUUGCUCCCUGAAGUCAGCGGCGGACGGGUGAGUAACACGUGGGCAACCUGCCUGUAAGACUGGGAUAACUCCGGGAAACCGGGGCUAAUACCGGAUAAUUCUUUCCCUCACAUGAGGGAAAGCUGAAAGAUGGUUUCGGCUAUCACUUACAGAUGGGCCCGCGGCGCAUUAGCUAGUUGGUGAGGUAACGGCUCACCAAGGCAACGAUGCGUAGCCGACCUGAGAGGGUGAUCGGCCACACUGGGACUGAGACACGGCCCAGACUCCUACGGGAGGCAGCAGUAGGGAAUCUUCCGCAAUGGACGAAAGUCUGACGGAGCAACGCCGCGUGAGUGAUGAAGGUUUUCGGAUCGUAAAACUCUGUUGUUAGGGAAGAACAAGUACCGGAGUAACUGCCGGUACCUUGACGGUACCUAACCAGAAAGCCACGGCUAACUACGUGCCAGCAGCCGCGGUAAUACGUAGGUGGCAAGCGUUGUCCGGAAUUAUUGGGCGUAAAGCGCGCGCAGGCGGUUCCUUAAGUCUGAUGUGAAAGCCCCCGGCUCAACCGGGGAGGGUCAUUGGAAACUGGGGAACUUGAGUGCAGAAGAGAAGAGUGGAAUUCCACGUGUAGCGGUGAAAUGCGUAGAGAUGUGGAGGAACACCAGUGGCGAAGGCGACUCUUUGGUCUGUAACUGACGCUGAGGCGCGAAAGCGUGGGGAGCAAACAGGAUUAGAUACCCUGGUAGUCCACGCCGUAAACGAUGAGUGCUAAGUGUUAGAGGGUUUCCGCCCUUUAGUGCUGCAGCAAACGCAUUAAGCA
This 873-nucleotide ribosomal RNA is filed under the name Bacillus sp. RKEM 755. Its description in RNAcentral is "bacterial SSU rRNA". It matches the Rfam family "Bacterial small subunit ribosomal RNA", at positions 11 to 866 of the family's 1533-position model. Lineage: Bacteria; Bacillati; Bacillota; Bacilli; Caryophanales; Bacillaceae. The record is from RNAcentral.